Molecule: ribosomal RNA, 490 nt
Filed under: uncultured bacterium
Lineage: Bacteria
Description: partial 16S ribosomal RNA
Rfam family: Bacterial small subunit ribosomal RNA
Source: RNAcentral
AUUGAACGCUGGCGGCAGGCCUAACACAUGCAAGUCGAACGGUAACAGGAAGCAGCUUGCUGCUUUGCUGACGAGAGGCGGACGGGUGAGUAAUGUCUGGGAAACUGCCCGAUGGAGGGGGAUAACUACUGGAAACGGUAGCUAAUACCGCAUAACGUCGCAAGACCAAAGAGGGGGACCUUAGGGCCUCUCGCCAUCGGCUGUGCCCAGAUGGGAUUAGCUAGUAGGUGGGGUAACGGCUCACCUAGGCGACGAUCCCUAGCUGGUCUGAGAGGAUGAACAGCCACACUGGAACUGAGACACGGUCCAGACUCCUACGGGAGGCAGCAGUGGGGAAUAUUGCACAAUGGGCGCAAGCCUGAUGCAGCCAUGCCGCGUGUAUGAAGAAGGCCUUCGGAUUGUAAAGUACUUUCAGCGGGGAGGAAGGGAGUAAAGUUAAUACCUUGGCUCAUUGACGUUACCCGCAGAAGAAGCACCGGCUAACUCCGUG